UCUCGAGUUCGAGUCUCUCUGUCACCACGGUGGUACUGAACCUCUCCAAAUAAAAACUCCUCCAUACGAGUAAGGACAAGCGGUGUAUACUAACCCGUAGGUCCAGGCUGGAGGUGGGGUUUUUCCUGGAUAUGAGGCCGCUUUGCGGUGGGGUCUGUCACUAUAAAAAGUUUACUCUAACAGUUUUUAAACCAAGUGGUCGUGGUUUAGUGGCUUUCACUUGAAGAGGAGUCGCCCUGUUGGUCCAGGCCAGGGAUCGAUUCCCCUCAAGCGCGAAAGUGCUAAUCAUUUCCAUUUGGCCAGGGGCUUUCACCUGGUCUUCCCCGGACCCUGGGGGGAUUAAGGGCUUCGGCCCCGAACCUCCUGGUUAUAAAAAAAAAAAAUUUAGCAAACGAGAUAAAAGAUAGAAAAAUGCAUAUCUAAAUAAUAAAAAAUGAAAAUAAAAAAAUAGAAACUAAUUCCACAAAUAUAGGGCUUAAUUU
This 482-nucleotide long non-coding RNA is filed under the name Arabidopsis lyrata. Its description in RNAcentral is "long non-coding RNA (ALYR_LNC000044)". The record is from RNAcentral. Lineage: Eukaryota; Viridiplantae; Streptophyta; Magnoliopsida; Brassicales; Brassicaceae.